CGGCCGUACCUCCGCCGCUCCGCCGGCCUACCGCCGGCGGCCGGUUGUCCUCCGCCACCUCGACUUACGUGCAAUAUUCAAAAGCCCGUAUCUUCUCCAUUCGAGCUUUGUUUUAGGUGAUUUUGGUCUCGUUGGACUCCAUUUUUCGUCACGAACCUCGCUGUGAGCUCAAUAUGGGAUGAAUUACGAGGCGUCAAAUUCUAACAAACAACUUUCUUCCAUCGUCAAUGCUUUACCAUUACCAUAUACUUUUC
This 254-nucleotide long non-coding RNA is filed under the name Elaeis guineensis (African oil palm). RNAcentral's name for it is "long non-coding RNA (EGUI_LNC027176)". The record is from RNAcentral. Lineage: Eukaryota; Viridiplantae; Streptophyta; Magnoliopsida; Arecales; Arecaceae.